UAGCAUAUCAAUAAGCGGAGGAAAAGAAACCAACAGGGAUUGCCCUAGUAACGGCGAGUGAAGCGGCAACAGCUCAAAUUUGAAAUCUGGCGUCUUUGGCGUCCGAGUUGUAAUUUGCAGAGGGCGCUUUGGCAUUGGCAGCGGUCCAAGUUCCUUGGAACAGGACGUCACAGAGGGUGAGAAUCCCGUACGUGGUCGCUAGCCUUUACCGUGUAAAGCCCCUUCGACGAGUCGAGUUGUUUGGGAAUGCAGCUCUAAAUGGGAGGUAAAUUUCUUCUAAAGCUAAAUACUGGCCAGAGACCGAUAGCGCACAAGUAGAGUGAUCGAAAGAUGAAAAGCACUUUGGAAAGAGAGUUAAAAAGCACGUGAAAUUGUUGAAAGGGAAGCGCUUGCAGCCAGACUUGCCUGUAGUUGCUCAUCCGGGUUUUUACCCGGUGCACUCUUCUGCGGGCAGGCCAGCAUCAGUUUGGGCGGUUGGAUAAAGGUCUCUGUCAUGUACCUCUCUUCGGGGAGAACUUAUAGGGGAGACGACAUGCAACCAGCCUGGACUGAGGUCCGCGCAUCUGCUAGGAUGCUGGCGUAAUGGCUGUAAGCGGCCCGUCUUGAAACACGGACCAAGGAGUCUAACAUCUAUGCGAGUGUUUGGGUGUCAAGCCCGAACGCGUAAUGAAAGUGAACGGAGGUGGGAACCCCUCGGGGUGCACCAUCGACCGAUCCUGAUGUCUUCGGAUGGAUUUGAGUAAGAGCAUAGCUGUUGGGACCCGAAAGAUGGUGAACUAUGCUUGAAUAGGGUGAAGCCAGAGGAAACUCUGGUGGAGGCUCGCAGCGGUUCUGACGUGCAAAUCGAUCGUCAAAUUUGGGCAUAGGGGC
RNAcentral lists this ribosomal RNA (870 nucleotides) under Xenodidymella applanata. Its description in RNAcentral is "LSU rRNA". It matches the Rfam family "Eukaryotic large subunit ribosomal RNA", at positions 36 to 924 of the family's 3401-position model. Lineage: Eukaryota; Fungi; Ascomycota; Dothideomycetes; Pleosporales; Didymellaceae. The record is from RNAcentral.